This is a transfer RNA of Gloeophyllum trabeum ATCC 11539, 80 nucleotides long. It matches the Rfam family "tRNA". Rfam says of the family: Transfer RNA (tRNA) molecules are approximately 80 nucleotides in length. Their secondary structure includes four short double-helical elements and three loops (D, anti-codon, and T loops). Further hydrogen bonds mediate the characteristic L-shaped molecular structure. tRNAs have two regions of fundamental functional importance: the anti-codon, which is responsible for specific mRNA codon recognition, and the 3' end, to which the tRNAs corresponding amino acid is attached (by aminoacyl-tRNA synthetases). tRNAs cope with the degeneracy of the genetic code in two manners: having more than one tRNA (with a specific anti-codon) for a particular amino acid; and 'wobble' base-pairing, i.e. permitting non-standard base-pairing at the 3rd anti-codon position. NCBI's taxonomy places the organism in Eukaryota, Fungi, Basidiomycota, Agaricomycetes, Gloeophyllales, Gloeophyllaceae. The record is from Rfam.
GGCGAGAUGGCCGAGCGGUCUAAGGCGUCAGACUAAGGAUCUGAUCCGAAAGGGCGUGGGUUCGAAUCCCACUCUCGUCA